CGCCUCUCCCGGAGGCCGCCGGGUGCGGGUGGCACCUCCAGGGCCCCAGCCGCUCUGGCCCUACGGCUCUGCUCCGGUCCAGCUCUCUUCCCCUAGAGGGCUUCUCCCGGAUGUGCUCUCUUGGAAGCGCCCGAGCCUCGGAGGCAUCCACGGUUCUCGGUGCGCGGCGUAAGCCGCUCCAACUACUUUGAGCCUGUCCUGUCCGCAGCCUGCAAGUUCGAGGAGUCCCUUCCGGGGUUGCAAAUUGGCAGCAGGAAUGUGAGGAGAAACACUGUCCCUCUCCCCAGGACUAACUUCACUUUCCUCGGGUGUUCAGGAGGUUGAAGAACAGCACCUGAGAUUUUUUUCCCCGGUUAUUCUUACUGUGACCUUCCCAGUGCAGGAAGAGGAACCCUGGAUCCAUCCUGGCUUUAUGUCUUCUUGGAUAGGAACUGAGCAGCACACCCAACUUACUGGAUCACAUGGCCAUGAGUCUUUUAAGAAAAAGCGUCAUCUGAGAACCUCUCACACCUUACGGAUGAAUAAAACACAAAACCAUUAACUUGACCAUCUUAAUGCUACACCAGGAGGAAACACUCCGAAAUCCCAUAUGACAUCUGUGAUGAAUGAUCCUGGAUUCAGACAUAAUAGGCAGUAUACAAAGAAUGAAGAAAAAAGACAGAGAAAAACGAGGCUCCCUUCAAAACAUGCUGCUCCUCAUCCACCGUGGCUGAAAGUGACCAUCUCUUCAGUGACACCAGUGGGCAGUGGAGGGGUGCAGAACAUCUCUUUAAAAUCAUGGCCAGAAACACUGUUUCUGCAACUCUGUGUCAGCCCUCAAAAUGUCACUAUGCUUUUCAUACAAAAUUGUGAUAAUAAAGUUUUAUGUAAACUGAUGUGUAGGCUUUGGC
Long non-coding RNA from Manis javanica (Malayan pangolin), 890 nucleotides. RefSeq lists it as uncharacterized. Lineage: Eukaryota; Metazoa; Chordata; Mammalia; Pholidota; Manidae. The record is from RefSeq and is a predicted model, not a curated record.